RNAcentral lists this small RNA (874 nucleotides) under Mesoplasma syrphidae. RNAcentral's name for it is "bacterial LSU rRNA". The stretch from base 373 to 874 matches the Rfam family "Bacterial large subunit ribosomal RNA", at positions 1 to 501 of the family's 2925-position model. The record is from RNAcentral. Lineage: Bacteria; Bacillati; Mycoplasmatota; Mollicutes; Entomoplasmatales; Entomoplasmataceae.
UACACACCGCCCGUCACACCACGAGAGUUGGUAAUACCAGAAGUAGGUAGCUUAACCGUAAGGAGAGCGCUUCCCAAGGUAGGAUUAGCGAUUGGGGUGAAGUCGUAACAAGGUAUCCGUACGGGAACGUGCGGAUGGAUCACCUCCUUUCUAUGGAGUAAAUUUUAAAAAGCAGCGUGAAACUGCUUUGACUGUUUCUGUUCUAUUUAGUUUUCAGAGGUUAUUAAUUUAAUCUCUGAAAAGAAUUGUUCUUUGAAAACUGAAUAUUAGAUGAAAAAACAAUUUUCUUAAUUGAAUUAUAUUCAAUUAUCAAAUUUGACAUCAGUUAUAAAAAAACUAAAAUUAAUGUUAUAAAUUGCAAAUAGAUUUUUUCUAAAAAAUAGUAAGAGCAUAUGGUGAAUGCCUUGGAAAAUGGAGCCGAAGAAGGACGUGACUACCUGCGAAAAGCAUCGGGGAGCUGGAAGUGAGCUUAGAUCCGGUGAUGUCCGAAUGGGGAAACCUAGUACGAUUAAUCUCGUAUUGUCCACAACUGAAUACAUAGGUUGUGAGAUGGGAACCUUGGGAACUGAAACAUCUUAGUACCAAGAGGAAAAGAAAAUAAAUAAUGAUUCUGUUAGUAGCGGCGAGCGAACGCGGAACAGGCCAAACCAGUCUACGGACUGGGGUUGUAGGACCAUAGUUAGAGUUACAAAAUUAAUGUAUAGUAGAAGCGAUUGGGAAGUCGCAGCACAGAGGGUGAUACUCCCGUAUACGAAAUGCAUUGAUCUCGAAAUGGAUAUCCUGAGUACGGCGAAACACGUGAAAUUUUGUCGGAAUCCGCCGAGACCACUCGGCAAGCCUAAAUACUACCAUUUUACCGAUAGUGAACCAGUAC